GCAGGAGAUAAUGGCAAUGCCUGAUAGGCAUUACCGAAAAUUCGUAAGGCUGUGCGAGCGUCAACGUCAGGAUCUAUCUAGGCAAGUGCAGGCCUCCCAGAAAGCUAGCAGAGAAAAACAAUUAAAAUUAAUUUUUCAAUGGCGUAAGAAGCUUCUUGAGGCUCAUUGGGCAAUACGUGAUGCUCGAACUGCACGCAACAGGGGAGUAGCUAAGUAUCAUGAGAGGAUGUUGAGGGAGUUCUCAAAGAAAAAGGAUGAUAACCGGAAUGAAAGAAUGGAGGCGUUGAAGAAUAAUGAUGUUGAGAGAUAUAGGGAGAUGUUGCUAGAGCAGCAGACCAAUGUUCCUGGUGAUGGUGCUGAGAGAUAUGCUGUUCUUUCAUCAUUUUUGAGUCAGACAGAAGAGUAUCUUCAUAAAUUGGGAGGUAAAAUUACAGCCACAAAAAAGCAGCAGGAGGUUGACGAGGCU
RNAcentral lists this unclassified non-coding RNA (466 nucleotides) under Hevea brasiliensis (rubber tree). Lineage: Eukaryota; Viridiplantae; Streptophyta; Magnoliopsida; Malpighiales; Euphorbiaceae. The record is from RNAcentral.